This 417-nucleotide unclassified non-coding RNA is filed under the name uncultured Sebacina. RNAcentral's name for it is "sequence contains ITS2". The stretch from base 1 to 154 matches the Rfam family "5.8S ribosomal RNA". The record is from RNAcentral. Lineage: Eukaryota; Fungi; Basidiomycota; Agaricomycetes; Sebacinales; Sebacinaceae.
AACUUUCAGCAAUGGAUCACUUGGCUCUCGCAUCGAUGAAGAACGCAGCGAAAUGCGAUAAGUAAUGUGAAUUGCAGAGUUCAGUGAAUCAUCGAAUCUUUGAACGCACCUUGCACCCUUUGGCAUUCCGAAGGGUAUGCUCGUUUGAGUGUCAUUGUACUCUCAUGCUCCCGAUGCUUUUGGAUCGGGAGUGGUGGACUUGGGUGUUGCUGCUUUACUGUGGCUCACCUCAAAUGGAGUAGUGCAACUCUUGGUUGGACAUAGUACGGCGUGAUAAGUGUCUUCGCCGGCGCCUCAUUAGAGGGUGGCCGAUCGGGAGCUCUGUGCUUCAAACCGUCUUCGGACAACAUCUGACAACUUGACCUCAAAUCGAGUAGGACUACCCGCUGAACUUAAGCAUAUCAAUAAGCGGAGGCU